AGGGGUGUAGCUCAGUGGUAGAGUGCUUACUUAGCAUUCAGGAGGCCCUGGGUUUGAUCCCCAGCACAGCAA
RNAcentral lists this transfer RNA (72 nucleotides) under Heterocephalus glaber (naked mole-rat). It matches the Rfam family "tRNA". From Rfam's summary of the family: Transfer RNA (tRNA) molecules are approximately 80 nucleotides in length. Their secondary structure includes four short double-helical elements and three loops (D, anti-codon, and T loops). Lineage: Eukaryota; Metazoa; Chordata; Mammalia; Rodentia; Bathyergidae. The record is from Rfam by way of RNAcentral.